GGGGCUGUAGCUCAGUGGCAGAGCGCUUGCCUAGCAUGUAUGAGGCACUGGGUUUGAUCCUCAGCAUCACA
Molecule: transfer RNA, 71 nt
Filed under: Marmota monax (woodchuck)
Lineage: Eukaryota; Metazoa; Chordata; Mammalia; Rodentia; Sciuridae
Description: tRNA.Ala
Rfam family: tRNA (bases 6-66)
About the family: Transfer RNA (tRNA) molecules are approximately 80 nucleotides in length. Their secondary structure includes four short double-helical elements and three loops (D, anti-codon, and T loops).
Source: RNAcentral